AUGUUGUAUGAAAGGAGAGAAGGUCAGCACUCCCCUUCACGAGAAUGGAAAAGCCUGACAACACACAUACAGUUAAGGGUAAUAGUGCGCAAAAAGAAUAAAGUAUUGGGUCACUGAAAAAGUAGUGAUGCAUUUUU
Molecule: small nuclear RNA, 137 nt
Organism: Tupaia belangeri (northern tree shrew)
Lineage: Eukaryota; Metazoa; Chordata; Mammalia; Scandentia; Tupaiidae
Source: Ensembl